This 2341-nucleotide ribosomal RNA is filed under the name Escherichia coli. RNAcentral's name for it is "partial 23S ribosomal RNA". It matches the Rfam family "Bacterial large subunit ribosomal RNA", at positions 323 to 2652 of the family's 2925-position model. Lineage: Bacteria; Pseudomonadati; Pseudomonadota; Gammaproteobacteria; Enterobacterales; Enterobacteriaceae. The record is from RNAcentral.
UGUGUGUUAGUGGAAGCGUCUGGAAAGGCGCGCGAUACAGGGUGACAGCCCCGUACACAAAAAUGCACAUGCUGUGAGCUCGAUGAGUAGGGCGGGACACGUGGUAUCCUGUCUGAAUAUGGGGGGACCAUCCUCCAAGGCUAAAUACUCCUGACUGACCGAUAGUGAACCAGUACCGUGAGGGAAAGGCGAAAAGAACCCCGGCGAGGGGAGUGAAAAAGAACCUGAAACCGUGUACGUACAAGCAGUGGGAGCACGCUUAGGCGUGUGACUGCGUACCUUUUGUAUAAUGGGUCAGCGACUUAUAUUCUGUAGCAAGGUUAACCGAAUAGGGGAGCCGAAGGGAAACCGAGUCUUAACUGGGCGUUAAGUUGCAGGGUAUAGACCCGAAACCCGGUGAUCUAGCCAUGGGCAGGUUGAAGGUUGGGUAACACUAACUGGAGGACCGAACCGACUAAUGUUGAAAAAUUAGCGGAUGACUUGUGGCUGGGGGUGAAAGGCCAAUCAAACCGGGAGAUAGCUGGUUCUCCCCGAAAGCUAUUUAGGUAGCGCCUCGUGAAUUCAUCUCCGGGGGUAGAGCACUGUUUCGGCAAGGGGGUCAUCCCGACUUACCAACCCGAUGCAAACUGCGAAUACCGGAGAAUGUUAUCACGGGAGACACACGGCGGGUGCUAACGUCCGUCGUGAAGAGGGAAACAACCCAGACCGCCAGCUAAGGUCCCAAAGUCAUGGUUAAGUGGGAAACGAUGUGGGAAGGCCCAGACAGCCAGGAUGUUGGCUUAGAAGCAGCCAUCAUUUAAAGAAAGCGUAAUAGCUCACUGGUCGAGUCGGCCUGCGCGGAAGAUGUAACGGGGCUAAACCAUGCACCGAAGCUGCGGCAGCGACGCUUAUGCGUUGUUGGGUAGGGGAGCGUUCUGUAAGCCUGUGAAGGUGUGCUGUGAGGCAUGCUGGAGGUAUCAGAAGUGCGAAUGCUGACAUAAGUAACGAUAAAGCGGGUGAAAAGCCCGCUCGCCGGAAGACCAAGGGUUCCUGUCCAACGUUAAUCGGGGCAGGGUGAGUCGACCCCUAAGGCGAGGCCGAAAGGCGUAGUCGAUGGGAAACAGGUUAAUAUUCCUGUACUUGGUGUUACUGCGAAGGGGGGACGGAGAAGGCUAUGUUGGCCGGGCGACGGUUGUCCCGGUUUAAGCGUGUAGGCUGGUUUUCCAGGCAAAUCCGGAAAAUCAAGGCUGAGGCGUGAUGACGAGGCACUACGGUGCUGAAGCAACAAAUGCCCUGCUUCCAGGAAAAGCCUCUAAGCAUCAGGUAACAUCAAAUCGUACCCCAAACCGACACAGGUGGUCAGGUAGAGAAUACCAAGGCGCUUGAGAGAACUCGGGUGAAGGAACUAGGCAAAAUGGUGCCGUAACUUCGGGAGAAGGCACGCUGAUAUGUAGGUGAGGUCCCUCGCGGAUGGAGCUGAAAUCAGUCGAAGAUACCAGCUGGCUGCAACUGUUUAUUAAAAACACAGCACUGUGCAAACACGAAAGUGGACGUAUACGGUGUGACGCCUGCCCGGUGCCGGAAGGUUAAUUGAUGGGGUUAGCGCAAGCGAAGCUCUUGAUCGAAGCCCCGGUAAACGGCGGCCGUAACUAUAACGGUCCUAAGGUAGCGAAAUUCCUUGUCGGGUAAGUUCCGACCUGCACGAAUGGCGUAAUGAUGGCCAGGCUGUCUCCACCCGAGACUCAGUGAAAUUGAACUCGCUGUGAAGAUGCAGUGUACCCGCGGCAAGACGGAAAGACCCCGUGAACCUUUACUAUAGCUUGACACUGAACAUUGAGCCUUGAUGUGUAGGAUAGGUGGGAGGCUUUGAAGUGUGGACGCCAGUCUGCAUGGAGCCGACCUUGAAAUACCACCCUUUAAUGUUUGAUGUUCUAACGUUGACCCGUAAUCCGGGUUGCGGACAGUGUCUGGUGGGUAGUUUGACUGGGGCGGUCUCCUCCUAAAGAGUAACGGAGGAGCACGAAGGUUGGCUAAUCCUGGUCGGACAUCAGGAGGUUAGUGCAAUGGCAUAAGCCAGCUUGACUGCGAGCGUGACGGCGCGAGCAGGUGCGAAAGCAGGUCAUAGUGAUCCGGUGGUUCUGAAUGGAAGGGCCAUCGCUCAACGGAUAAAAGGUACUCCGGGGAUAACAGGCUGAUACCGCCCAAGAGUUCAUAUCGACGGCGGUGUUUGGCACCUCGAUGUCGGCUCAUCACAUCCUGGGGCUGAAGUAGGUCCCAAGGGUAUGGCUGUUCGCCAUUUAAAGUGGUACGCGAGCUGGGUUUAGAACGUCGUGAGACAGUUCGGUCCCUAUCUGCCGUGGGC